Non-coding RNA from Schistosoma rodhaini, 45 nucleotides. NCBI's taxonomy places the organism in Eukaryota, Metazoa, Platyhelminthes, Trematoda, Strigeidida, Schistosomatidae. The record is from Rfam.
AUCCAGCUGAUGAGUCCCAAAUAGGAUGAAACGCUCGUCCUGGAU